CGACCUACGGGACGCGCAGUGAGGAAUAUUGGUCAAUGGUCGGGAGACUGAACCAGCCAAGCCGCGUGGGGGAUGAAGGUACAGAGUAUCGUAAACCUCUUUUGUCAGGGAACAAAGGCGGGGACGUGUCCCCGGAUGAGUGUACCUGAAGAAAAAGCAUCGGCUAACUCCGUGCCAGCAGCCGCGGUAAUACGGAGGAUGCGAGCGUUAUCCGGAUUUAUUGGGUUUAAAGGGAGCGUAGACGGAGGAGCAAGUCUGAUGUGAAAAUCCGGGGCCCAACCCCGGAACUGCAUUGGAAACUGUUU
RNAcentral lists this ribosomal RNA (305 nucleotides) under uncultured bacterium. Its description in RNAcentral is "bacterial SSU rRNA". It matches the Rfam family "Bacterial small subunit ribosomal RNA", at positions 335 to 638 of the family's 1533-position model. The record is from RNAcentral.